UUCAGCACGACAGACCGAUAGAUCCGAUUACGUGUUUCUGCUUUCACAGUGUCCUGUUUAACUAUCCUUCCUAUUGCUUGCGCCGGAGGACCGACACCGCUAGAGUAACAUAGCCAGUCUGUCUGUAUUGCGGCGUGUGCAUGCAACUGUACGAGCGGCGCCUUCAAGCCAAUUCAUUCUGCAACCCAUAAAACAUACAAGAGGCGCUCUUUGCUUUUAAAUUGAACGGAGGACGAGCACCUCUUUCAUGGAACUGAAAGCUUCCCUUUCAAUUGCAACACUACUGCAUGAGCUCUGACGCCUGUUCGUAGGACCUUGAAACUUCAUCAAAGAUCUGCAUCACUCCGCUGACUGCCCAGAGCCACGUCAACGCAGAGUGAAAUCCAGAGAAGUAACUUCCAACUCUCAUCCCUGUCUCACGGUGGAGCUGUUGGAGCAU
Molecule: long non-coding RNA, 439 nt
Filed under: Salmo trutta (river trout)
Lineage: Eukaryota; Metazoa; Chordata; Actinopteri; Salmoniformes; Salmonidae
Description: lncRNA (ENSSTUG00000021458.1)
Source: RNAcentral